RNAcentral lists this ribosomal RNA (508 nucleotides) under Amynthas corticis. Its description in RNAcentral is "partial 16S ribosomal RNA". It matches the Rfam family "Bacterial large subunit ribosomal RNA", at positions 1799 to 2605 of the family's 2925-position model. Lineage: Eukaryota; Metazoa; Annelida; Clitellata; Crassiclitellata; Megascolecidae. The record is from RNAcentral.
CCUGUUUAUCAAAAACAUUGUCUCAUGUAUAGUAUAUGAGAUAAUACCUGCCCAGUGACACAAUGUUCAACGGCCGCGGUAUCCUAACCGUGCAAAGGUAGCAUAAUCACUUGCCUAUUAAUUGUAGGCUAGAAUGAAUGGGUUAACGAAAUAAAGACUGUCUCAAUUAAUUAACUAAAAAUUAUUCUCUAUCUGAAGAAAGAUAGAUAAACUCGAAGGACAAGAAGACCCUAUAGAGCUUUAUACUCCACAUAGAAUAGUAACUAUAAAAGUAUUCGGUUGGGGCGACCCAGGGAAAACAAUCACCCACUAUACAAAAGAUCAAUUAAUCAAAUAAAUGACCCUUUAAAGAUCAUAAGACCAAGCUACCUUAGGGAUAACAGGCUAAUCCCACUCAAGAGUCCUUAUCAACAGUGGGGUUUGGCACCUGGAUGUUGGAUUAGGGUAUCUAUAUAGCGCAAAAGUUAUAUAAAGAUGGUUUGUUCAACCAGUAAUUCCCUACGUGAUC